This 424-nucleotide ribosomal RNA is filed under the name Fusobacteriota bacterium. RNAcentral describes it as "Fusobacteria bacterium partial 16S ribosomal RNA". It matches the Rfam family "Bacterial small subunit ribosomal RNA", at positions 355 to 776 of the family's 1533-position model. The record is from RNAcentral. Lineage: Bacteria; Fusobacteriati; Fusobacteriota.
UGAGGAAUAUUGGUCAAUGGGCGAGAGCCUGAACCAGCCAAGUAGCGUGCAGGAUGACGGCCCUAUGGGUUGUAAACUGCUUUUAUGUGGGGAUAAAGUGCGUGACGUGUCAUGCAUUGCAGGUACCACAUGAAUAAGGACCGGCUAAUUCCGUGCCAGCAGCCGCGGUAAUACGGAAGGUCCGGGCGUUAUCCGGAUUUAUUGGGUUUAAAGGGAGCGUAGGCUGUCUAUUAAGCGUGUUGUGAAAUUUACCGGCUCAACCGGUGGCUUGCAGCGCAAACUGGUCGACUUGAGUAUGCAGGAAGUAGGCGGAAUUCAUGGUGUAGCGGUGAAAUGCUUAGAUAUCAUGACGAACUCCGAUUGCGCAGGCAGCUUACUGUAGCAUAACUGACGCUGAUGCUCGAAAGUGCGGGUAUCAAACAGG